This 814-nucleotide ribosomal RNA is filed under the name uncultured bacterium. RNAcentral describes it as "partial 16S ribosomal RNA". It matches the Rfam family "Bacterial small subunit ribosomal RNA", at positions 1 to 799 of the family's 1533-position model. The record is from RNAcentral.
GGCCGCGGGAAUUCGAUUAGAGUUUGAUUCUGGCUCACGCUUAACGCUGGCGGCGUGCCUAAUACAUGCAAGUCGAACGCACCUUUUCGGUGGUGAGUGGCGAACGGGUGAGUAAAAGAUAAGUAACCUGCCCUAGGCAGGGGGAUAACGACCGGAAACGGACGCUAAAACCGCAUAGGCUGGGAGAUCGCAUGAGAAUCCAGUUAAAUGUCCUGAAAGGGACAGGCAAAGGAGGGACUUAUCACGCAUUAGCUAGUUGGUGGGGCAACGGCCUACCAAGGCGACGAUGCGUAGCCGGCCUGAGAGGGCGGACGGCCACACUGGGACUGAGACACGGCCCAGACUCCUACGGGAGGCAGCAGUAGGGAAUUUUCGGCAAUGGGCGAAAGCCUGACCGAGCAACGCCGCGUGAACGAAGAAGGUCUUCGGAUUGUAAAGUUCUGUUAUAGAGGAAGAACGGUGUACGUAGGAAAUGACGUACAAGUGACGGUACUCUGUGAGGAAGCCACGGCUAACUACGUGCCAGCAGCCGCGGUAAUACGUAGGUGGCGAGCGUUAUCCGGAAUCAUUGGGCGUAAAGAGGGAGCAGGCGGCCUGGAGGGUCUAUUGUUAAAAGGCAGUGGCUUAACCAUUGCAAGGCGAAGAAACCGGCAGGCUAGAGUUCUAAAGAGGAUCGUGGAAUUCCAUGUGUAGCGGUGAAAUGCGUAGAUAUAUGGAGGAACACCAGUGGCGAAGGCGACGAUCUGGGAAGAAACAGACGCUGAGUCCCGAAAGCGUGGGGAGCAAAUAGGAUUAAAUACCCUAGUAGUCCACG